GAUCAUGGCUCAGGAUGAACGCUGGCGGCGUGCUUAACACAUGCAAGUCGAACGAAGCAUUUAAGACAGAUUUUUUCGGAAUGAAGUUUUUUAUGACUGAGUGGCGGACGGGUGAGUAACGCGUGGGUAACCUGCCUCACACAGGGGGAUAGCAGUUGGAAACGACUGGUAAUACCGCAUAAGCGCACAGCUUCGCAUGAAGCGGUGUGAAAAACUCCGGUGGUGUGAGAUGGACCCGCG
RNAcentral lists this ribosomal RNA (240 nucleotides) under uncultured bacterium. RNAcentral describes it as "partial 16S ribosomal RNA". It matches the Rfam family "Bacterial small subunit ribosomal RNA", at positions 15 to 235 of the family's 1533-position model. The record is from RNAcentral.